GCUAAUCCUAGAUUUUAAUUUAAAAAAAUUUACUGAAAUAAAAAAUAAAUGAAUAAUUCUUUAAUUAAAUAAAUAAUAAUUUAGUCAUGGCAUCCACACAUUUCCUCUUAUUGCUUUUCUCCUCAUUUCCUUUGUGCAGCCGCCAUUUUAAUUUCCACACGACACGAGUAAACGGCACAAAAUUUGAUUUAACUAUUGCAAUACAAUUACUUCUUAUUAAUGAUCUACAGAAAUGUUUUAAUAAAAUCAAAUAUGGCGAGCGUAAGAUUUGAAUAAACAUUGAAGUUUUUGUGAAUGAAUGACAAUUGAAAGCAGUAUCACCAACAACUCUGUGGUGCCUGAGGCUUGCAAGUGCAAAUGUCUGCUUGCUAAUUCGAAAUAAUUUGGUUAUUUAGUAGUAAAAGUGUGUGCUCCCGUUAUUAAAGUAUAUGCAAUGGAAAGUGCGAGAAAUUUAAACGAAUCCUAGACGGAUUCUCGAAACGAGUCGGAACGACGUGCACUCACGUAAAAUUUAUCGCAUUACACUCAUAGAACAAACAUGUUUACCCGUUAAAACUACUACAUACAC
Molecule: non-coding RNA, 568 nt
Organism: Bactrocera oleae (olive fruit fly)
Lineage: Eukaryota; Metazoa; Arthropoda; Insecta; Diptera; Tephritidae
Source: RefSeq, a predicted model, not a curated record